GAUGAACGCUGGCGGCGUGCCUAAUACAUGCAAGUCGAGCGAACGGACGAGAAGCUUGCUUCUCUGAUGUUAGCGGCGGACGGGUGAGUAACACGUGGAUAACCUACCUAUAAGACUGGGAUAACUUCGGGAAACCGGAGCUAAUACCGGAUAAUAUUUUGAACCGCAUGGUUCAAAAGUGAAAGACGGUCUUGCUGUCACUUAUAGAUGGAUCCGCGCUGCAUUAGCUAGUUGGUAAGGUAACGGCUUACCAAGGCAACGAUGCAUAGCCGACCUGGGAGGGUAAUCGGCCACACUGGAACUGAGACACGGUCCAGACUCCUACGGGAGGCAGCAGUAGGGAAUCUUCCGCAAUGGGCGAAAGCCUGACGGAGCAACGCCGCGUGAGUGAUGAAGGUCUUCGGAUCGUAAAACUCUGUUAUUAGGGAAGAACAUAUGUGUAAGUAACUGUGCACAUCUUGACGGUACCUAAUCAGAAAGCCACGGCUAACUACGU
Molecule: ribosomal RNA, 496 nt
Filed under: uncultured bacterium
Lineage: Bacteria
Description: partial 16S ribosomal RNA
Rfam family: Bacterial small subunit ribosomal RNA
Source: RNAcentral